CACUCAUUUCUCUCUCCCCUUACCUGAAACUCAGCGAAGGGACAAAACCCCAAAGAAGCUGAUGAUCGAGAGCGAAGCAGAAACCCAGAGAUAUCCAGGUUUCGCAGCAUAACCCUGGCAUGGUGUUGCAUUGAACUUGUUUCUUUUCUGGAUUUUCAAAUUCGGGUGGACUGAUGCAUAUUGCUGGAAUGUGUGGUUAUUUGCAUGUUUGGAAUGUUUAAUGGUGUUAUGGUCUAGUGAGGCAUUUUGGCAACUUUGACAUUACUUGGACAUGAAGUAUCUUGGAAAGGUGAUGAAGUGAAGAAGAACUGACUUGAAGGUGCUGAAGAUAUAUAGGUCUUAGGAAGUCAAACUAGGUUGGUCAAAAUUGAUGGUCAACAGUUGACCAAACGUCAAAUGUUGUAAAUUUUGACUUUUCCUUGUAGUUUUUUUUUUAUAAUUUCUUUCAGUGAUACGUUGUAACUUGUGAUUGAGCCUUUGUAAGAAUCUUGUCUUUUGUAACUUGUUUCUCAAGAAAUAAAGAUGCUUUCUAUUUUUC
Molecule: long non-coding RNA, 538 nt
Organism: Vicia villosa (hairy vetch)
Lineage: Eukaryota; Viridiplantae; Streptophyta; Magnoliopsida; Fabales; Fabaceae
Exons: 3
Source: RefSeq, a predicted model, not a curated record